CGUACACUCCUACGGGAGGCAGCAGUGGGGAAUAUUGGACAAUGGGCGCAAGCCUGAUCCAGCCAUGCCGCGUGAGUGAUGAAGGCCCUAGGGUUGUAAAGCUCUUUCACCGGUGAAGAUAAUGACGGUAACCGGAGAAGAAGCCCCGGCUAACUUCGUGCCAGCAGCCGCGGUAAUACGAAGGGGGCUAGCGUUGUUCGGAUUUACUGGGCGUAAAGCGCACGUAGGCGGACUAUUAAGUCAGGGGUGAAAUCCCGGGGCUCAACCCCGGAACUGCCUUUGAUACUGGUAGUCUUGAGUUCGAGAGAGGUGAGUGGAAUUCCGAGUGCAGAGGUGAAAUUCGUAGAUAUUCGGAGGAACACCAGUGGCGAAGGCGGCUCACUGGCUCGAUACUGACGCUGAGGUGCGAAAGCGUGGGGAGCAAACAGGAUUAGAAACCCUUGUAGUCCCAUG
RNAcentral lists this ribosomal RNA (453 nucleotides) under uncultured organism. Its description in RNAcentral is "partial 16S ribosomal RNA". It matches the Rfam family "Bacterial small subunit ribosomal RNA", at positions 330 to 799 of the family's 1533-position model. The record is from RNAcentral.